Molecule: long non-coding RNA, 2958 nt
Organism: Marmota monax (woodchuck)
Lineage: Eukaryota; Metazoa; Chordata; Mammalia; Rodentia; Sciuridae
Exons: 2
Source: RefSeq, a predicted model, not a curated record
GCGCGCCGCCCCCAGCCGGCCCGCCCCCGCCUCCUUAUUGGUCCAUACAAGGCGCCUCGGUCACGUGAGAAAAACGUUCGCAGGUUCUUCAGUCACGUGACGGAGCUGGCUUCCUUGGGGUGGGCCCCGUGACGUGACCCUGGGCGUGGCAUCCACGUUGCGGGUGGCGUUUCCCUUCCCCGACCCGGUCCCGCCGUCUGCACCCCUGGAGAGCAGGGCUGCUAGCCUGGGCGCGCGGUGAGCAGCAGGGCGGGCUGCACGGCGGAACGCCGAGAGCAAGGACGCAGAUCUAGGGCGCGGGGUGCCUGUGCUGAGGACGCAGCGCUGGACUCGGAGUCCGGAGUUGGAGGGGCCGCCCGGGUCACGUAGUACAGAUUUCCUGGGCGUCUGUCCGGGCCGACAGGUCGUGGCAAGACUGUCCGCAUCCAAGCGGGGUCAGGGACUCGGACACAAGCAGCAGCCAUCAGCUCCAAAAAGAGAGAAAUACCGGAAAGAGUGUACCUGGCAGAGGGAGGAGCUAACGCAGAGGCUCGGCAGUGCACGGGAGAGCGAACCCGCUCUGUGAGCUUUGCAGAGGGGUUGGGGCUGCCAGAGGUGAGGAGGGGCACUACCGGGAAACCCUGAAAUGGAUGAAAAGGAAUCGUGGUUAUGCACGUUUUGCAAAGACCCUAGAGUGUUCGAAGGAGCGUGUGUUCAUCGACUGCAAAGUCUCCCGCUUACUCUGGACUUCUGUGCCCAAGAGUGUGGAAGGGAGGUCCUGGAGCGGCUCGCUGACCCCGAGUUCCCCGCAGCACCACUUUUGAUGGCUCUCUGAAGGGCUUCGGGCGAGCGUCCUUUGUUCCUGUAGGGCCGGCCUUGCCCUUCUGGUUCUUUGGGUGGUGGGGAGGCUGCGUGUGUCCCCUAGCCUCUUGCUCUCCAGGCUCACUUUCAUCCUUAUUGCCUUACCCUCAAAUCCCUACUGGAGGACGUUGCUUUCCCUUUCCCCUCCAAUGUUCUCCCUCCCAGCCCUUAGCUCAGCCGACUGACCCCAACCUCCUCUUUUCCUUGGUGCAAUCCUUCAGUAGAUCUUGAUUGCUAUACUCUCCAGAUGGCAACAUGGCCCUCCUCUUUAAGCCACCCAUCUGUCACCUGGAUGACUACAACAGCACUCAGUGGCCUUCAGCCUCCACCCUAUCCCAGCUACUUCACCCUCCAUGCAGCAGAAGGGCCUCUACCUUGUCUUCAUGUUCCAGUGGUUGCCAUAAAAUCCAGACUCUUGACCCUGAACCUGCAGGAUCCCAGGUCCCACCCAUUUCUCCACCUGUCUCCUCCCUUUGAUCAUCUGUGUGCCUUGCCAGUUCUCUGGACCACUUCCACCACUCCUCCUGGACCUGGGGAUCUUGGCACCUCCUGUUCUCUCCACUGUGGCCUUCUGCCUUCUCACAAGCUGACUUCUUUUCCUUGGGCUCAGCUGCAGCAGCACCUACAGGCCUUCAGUGCCCGCUCCCGUUGUCCUCUCUAGCUAAGAGACCAGCCCAGUUGGGGCCAUGAUGCUUAUCAUUGCAACAUUAUUUCAUAUGUUUAUUUACUUAAUGUCUAUCUUCCUGAUUGGUGUUUCAGCCUCAGUGGGGUUGGGGGUGGGCUACUUCUGCUUUGCACAUUGCUGUAUCCUAGUGUGUCACUCGCGGCCUGGCCCUUCCUGAAUGAUAAGUAGAUAGGUGUUAGGAACCAUUAAAGCUGAGCCGCAGCCCGGCAUGGUAGCACACACCUAUAAUUCCAGUGGCUUGGAAGGCUGAGAUAGGAGGAUGGCAAGUUCAAAGACAGCCUCAGCAAUGGCAAGGUGCUAAACAACUCAGUGAGACCCUGUCUCUAAAUAAAAUACUAAAAAAGGACUGGGAAUGUGGCUCAGUGGUAGAGUGCCCCUGAGUUCAAUCCCCGGUACCAAAAAAAAGAAAAAAAAACGGCUGAGCUGCCAUUCACUCAGUCGCGGCAUAGUAAGGAAAGAAACAAAUCCAGCCUCCAGCCCUCUGCCCAGGUGCCAACCUUCCCUGUACCAUAGCUGUCCCUACAGUCUGCAUAGAAAAUGCAGCUGUAGCCAUUUGCUACCUCACUGUUCCUCCUUUCUGGAUACCUUGCCCUGGGAUAGCCUGGCCUUCCCAGCUUCUCCUCCAGCCCCACUGAGCAGCCGACUGGAGCAGCAAGUGGAUGAAGAGUCCUCUGCAGGCAAGAGAGGAAGGCUGUUGAGUAAUCAACGAUCCCAUGUCUGUCCCGGAUACGGAUGGUGCUGUAGUAUCUUGUCCCCUGAGGUCUUUGGCCCAAGGGGAAGGAAGACAGGGACUUUGCUAAGGAGUCUGUCUUUGAUCACUCUCCCACCCCCUCAACAAAAGUCAGAAAUCAUCUGGGGUUUCCGUAGGACUUGGAAACCAAAAAGGAGCCUAGCGCUGGGAGCCAGGAUACCUGGGUUUCCUGUCUUAGAUUCCACACUGGCAUGUUCUGGGACCAUGGAAGCCCCUUCCAGGCUUGGGCUGUUUCCUCAUCUCUAUACUGUGCUGGGGGAGGGUGGAGGGAGCAUAUGGUACUCCCUGAGGACCCUUUCCAACUUGUCUUGCUGUGACCCUGAAGGGGCCCCCUGGAGGUUCCGGCGCCCUCAUCUCCCGGGCACUGGAGAGAGCCUAUAACUGAUGUCCUACUUCCCCCUCUCCCCAGCUCCUGGGCUGUGAGUUUAGAUGGGAGUCUCUGCAGGGCUUGCAGGUGACACAUCCAAUCACAGGCUUCAGGCCCCAGAAGAGAGGAGCCAGCAGCCAAGGGGAACUUCUUUUGUGGGAUGAGAGAUGGGUAUUGGAACCCAAAGAGGACCAGGGUCUGCGCUGUAAGCCUCGUAACCUUGCUUAUAUGUGGGAGUCGGGGCCCCUCUCUAGGCCUCUUUUUAAAAAAAGAAAAAAAAUUUUUUUUGUGGUUGUAGAUAAACGAAUGCCUUUA